GUGUCAGCCGCCGCGGUAAUACGUAGGGUGCAAGCGUUAAUCGGAAUUACUGGGCGUAAAGCGUGUGUAGGCGGUUCGGAAAGAAAGAUGUGAAAUCCCAGGGCUCAACCUUGGAACUGCAUUUUUAACUGCCGAGCUAGAGUAUGUCAGAGGGGGGUAGAAUUCCACGUGUAGCAGUGAAAUGCGUAGAUAUGUGGAGGAAUACCGAUGGCGAAGGCAGCCCCCUGGGAUAAUACUGACGCUCAGACACGAAAGCGUGGGGAGCAAACAGGAUUAGAUACCCUGGUAGUCCACGCCCUAAACGAUGUCAACUAGCUGUUGGGGCCGUUAGGCCUUAGUAGCGCAGCUAACGCGUGAAGUUGACCGCCUGGGGAGUACGGUCGCAAGAUUAAAACUCAAAGGAAUUGACGGGGACCCGCACAAGCGGAGGAACAUGUGGUUUAAUUCGAUGAUACGCGAGGAACCUUACCCGGGUUUGAACGUAGGGAGACAGGAGUGGAAACAUUCUUUUCAGCAAUGACUGCCUACGAGGUGCUGCAUGGUUGUCGUCAGCUCGUGCCGUGAGGUGUCGGCUUAAGUGCCAUAACGAGCGCAACCCUUAUUUCCAGUUACUAACAGGUCAAGCUGAGGACUCUGGAGAGACUGCCAGCGUAAGCUGUGAGGAAGGUGGGGAUGACGUCAAAUCAGCACGGCCCUUACAUCCGGGGCGACACACGUGUUACAAUGGUAAGGACAAAGGGCAGCUACCGGGCGACCGGAUGCGAAUCUCUAAACCUUAUCUCAGUUCGGAUCGGAGUCUGCAACUCGACUCCGUGAAGCUGGAUUCGCUAGUAAUCGCGCAUCAGCCAUGGCGCGGUGAAUACGUUCCCGGGCCUUGUACACACCGCCCGUCAAGCCAUGGGAGCCGGGGGUACCUGAAGUUCGUAACCGCAAGGAUCGACCUAGGGUAAAACUGGUGACUGGGGCUAAGUCGUAACAAGGUAACC
RNAcentral lists this ribosomal RNA (986 nucleotides) under uncultured Porphyromonadaceae bacterium. Its description in RNAcentral is "bacterial SSU rRNA". It matches the Rfam family "Bacterial small subunit ribosomal RNA", at positions 505 to 1501 of the family's 1533-position model. The record is from RNAcentral. Lineage: Bacteria; Pseudomonadati; Bacteroidota; Bacteroidia; Bacteroidales; Porphyromonadaceae.